Molecule: long non-coding RNA, 496 nt
Organism: Ostrea edulis (European flat oyster)
Lineage: Eukaryota; Metazoa; Mollusca; Bivalvia; Ostreida; Ostreidae
Exons: 2
Source: RefSeq, a predicted model, not a curated record
CUGUCGCAUUUGAUUCAGGUGGACAUGGGGACGGAAAAGUUGUGAAUGACGACGAGGCUGAAGGUUCAGAAUUCACUGCUUCGUGAUAUGUCCAUUAAAAUUUUUGCCACACGUCAACAUUACAUUCAUUCACCAGUGCCACUAGCAAAUUUCCAACAUUGAUUAUACUCAUGGAGUCAGACAUGCGAUAUUCUUGCUGUUUGUUUACUUCGAAAAUGUGGCUGGAACAUUCUUUAAUUUACCGAUUUGAUGUGAAGCACUUCUAUAUGCACCACUCGCAAGGCUAUAAUGAUUGUUCAGAAGGACAGCCUUCUCACUUUUACUGGCUCAUUGUUGGUGUAAUUGGUAAUAGCAUUUCAUCAAACGUGGAGAACAAAUUCAAUUUUAUUCACCGGAUGUGUUGGAAAUUGAGAAAUCGAUGCCUCGAGUACCAGAAAAUACGAUCUUAUGUAGUCAUAGAAACCAAUUAAGAGAAUCAUUAAAACGUAAGAAAGUU